GCCAGAUGUGGUGGUGCAUGCCUAUAGUCCCAGCUAUCCAGGAGGCUGAGGUGGGAGCACUGCUUAGCCCAGGAGUUCUUGGCUGUAAUAUGCAUGCCAGUCAGGUGUCUGCACUAUGUUUGGCAUCAGUAUAGUGACCUCCUGGGAGCGUGGGACCACCAGGUUGCCUAAGGAGGGGUGAACUAUCCCAGGCUGGAAAUGAAGCAGGUAAAAACUCCUGUGCUAGUUAGCAGUGGGAUUGUGCCUGUGAAUAGUCACUGCACUCCAACCUGGGCAACACAGUGAGACCCCGUCUCU
Molecule: signal recognition particle RNA, 297 nt
Filed under: Theropithecus gelada (gelada)
Lineage: Eukaryota; Metazoa; Chordata; Mammalia; Primates; Cercopithecidae
Description: Metazoan signal recognition particle RNA (ENSTGEG00000023373.1)
Rfam family: Metazoan signal recognition particle RNA
About the family: The signal recognition particle (SRP) is a universally conserved ribonucleoprotein. It is involved in the co-translational targeting of proteins to membranes. The eukaryotic SRP consists of a 300-nucleotide 7S RNA and six proteins: SRPs 72, 68, 54, 19, 14, and 9.
Source: RNAcentral